AGUCAUAGUCAUUUGUCAUGUCUUUGUCAAAAGACAAAAAUAAAUUUUGAAUUUUUAGUAAUUUAAAAUUUUAAAUUACAUUUUUGCAUAUUGGAACUGAGUGCGAGUGGAACCAGUAAUUUAGUUUAAAUUCGACGAAAUGGAGCUAAGUGACGCUUCUAUAAAAAGAAACCAAAAUGUUUUAAUGUGUGACAAAGAUGGAGAUCCUCUUGUUAAUGCACAAGUAAAAUCAGAACUGGUAGAAUGCUUGUCUGAAAGUAGUUACACACAGGAUUCUUUAUCAAACUCAUAUUGUUCGGACGAUAUUAAAAUAGAAGAACAUGUAUUACAAUAUGAAGUAGAUAGCCCAUUCCCGAUCAUCAAGCAAGAAGUUAAGACAGAAAUCAAAAAAGAACUGGAUGAACAAGAUUUAGGAGUGAAUCAUGGUUGUGAAACUCAAUAUACGAAAGAAUUAGACUCAGAAGAAGAUACAAAAUUACAGAUAGAAGCUUCCACUGAAAUACACCAUGAAAAACAUUGUAGAAGUAUGAAAACAUCAAAAUUACGAUCCAACAAUGGCAAACAAAGGUUACGUCAGAACGUGACUAAAAUGAAAUCCAAAAGAUCGUUGGUAACGCACACUGGAGAAAAGCGUUACCAGUGUGAAAUUUGUUUAAAACAAUUUAGCGAAGCAGGAACUUUGAAAAGGCAUUUGAGAAUACACACUGGAAAGAAGCCAAACAAGUGUGAAAUUUGUUUCAAGCAAUUUAAGCAAAAUGGAUAUUUGAAAAGGCAUUUAAUGACGCACACUGGAGAAAAGCCUUACAAGUGUAAAAUUUGUUUUAAGCAAUUUAGUGAAGCAGGAACUUUGAAAAUCCAUUUGAGAAUACACACUGGAGAGAUGCCUUACAAAUGUCAAAUUUGUUCCAAGCAAUUUAGUCAAUAUGGUCAUUUGAACAGGCAUUUAAGGAUACAUAAUGGAGAGAUGCCAUACAAGUGUGAAAUUUGUUCUAAGCAAUUUAGAGAAGAAGGAAAUUUGAAAAGACAUUUGAGAAUACACACUGGAGAGAUGCCUUACAAGUGUGAAAUUUGUUUUAAGCAAUUUAGACACGUUGGAAGUUUGAAAACGCAUUUAAGAGUACACACUGGAGAGAUGCCUUACAAGUGUGAAAUUUGUUCCAAGCAAUUUAGACAAGUUGGUUCUUUGAAAACACAUUUAAAGGUACACACUGCUACUGCACUAAGUACACACUAAGCAAUUUAGUGAAGCAGGAACUUUGAAAAGACAUUUGAGAAUACAUAUUGUGAGAGAUCAGUGGCGGCUCGUGACAAUUUCAGUUGGUGGGGCCUGGGCCGCAUAUAAAUUUUGACGAAAUUACAAAAGAAAAAUGAAGAAUGAAAAUCAUGGCUCAAAAAAAUACAUACAGGGUUACGUCAGAAAUCGAUUAAAAUGAAAUCCAAAAGAUCGUUGGUAACGCACACUGGAGAAAAGCGUUACCUGUGUGAAAUUUGUUUAAAACAGUUUAGUAGAGCAGGUAAUUUGGAAACACAUUUGAGAGUGCACACUGGAGAGUCGCCUUAUAAAUGUGAAAUUUGUUUUAAACAAUUUACUCAUGCAGUGAAUUUAAAAACCCAUUUUAGGUUGCAUACAGGAGAAAAGCCUUACAAGUGCGAAACUUGUUCUAAGCAAUUCAAUGAAGCAGG
This is an RNA transcript of Diabrotica virgifera virgifera (western corn rootworm), 1683 nucleotides long. It is a transcript of the gene named zinc finger protein 501-like, with no coding region annotated. The record is from RefSeq and is a predicted model, not a curated record. The transcript is spliced from 3 exons. Lineage: Eukaryota; Metazoa; Arthropoda; Insecta; Coleoptera; Chrysomelidae.